This 460-nucleotide ribosomal RNA is filed under the name uncultured bacterium. RNAcentral's name for it is "partial 16S ribosomal RNA". It matches the Rfam family "Bacterial small subunit ribosomal RNA", at positions 338 to 795 of the family's 1533-position model. The record is from RNAcentral.
CCUACGGGAGACAGCAGUGAGGAAUAUUGGUCAAUGGGCGCGAGCCUGAACCAGCCAAGUAGCGUGAAGGAUGACUGCCCUACGGGUUGUAAACUUCUUUUAUAAAGGAAUAAAGUGAGGCACGUGUGCCUUUUUGUAUGUACUUUAUGAAUAAGGAUCGGCUCACCCCGUGCCAGCAGCCGCGGUAAUACGGAGGAUCCGAGCGUUAUCCGGAUGGAUUGGGUUUAAAGGGAGCGUAGAUGGGUUGUUAAGUCAGUUGUGAAAGUUUGCGGCUCAACCGUACAAUUGCAAUUGAUACUGGCAGCCUUGAGUACAGUUGAGGUAGGCGGAAUUCGUGGUGUAGCAGUGAAAUGCUUAGAGAUCACGAAGAACUCCGAUUGCGAAGGCAGCUUACUAAACUGCCACUGACAUUGAUGCUCGAAAGUGUGGGUAUCAAACAGGAUUAGAUACCCGUGUAGUC